This 783-nucleotide ribosomal RNA is filed under the name uncultured Verrucomicrobiae bacterium. RNAcentral's name for it is "bacterial SSU rRNA". It matches the Rfam family "Bacterial small subunit ribosomal RNA", at positions 67 to 833 of the family's 1533-position model. The record is from RNAcentral. Lineage: Bacteria; Pseudomonadati; Verrucomicrobiota; Verrucomicrobiia.
UUUUUUUCUGUAGCAAUACAGGGAAAAGUCUAGCGGCGAACGGGUGCUUAACACGUGGGCAAUCUGUCUUAAAGUGGGGGAUAGCUCGGCGAAAGCCGAAUUAAUACCGCAUGUGAUUAGAGUGGACAUCCAUUCAAAAUCAAAGUCGGGGCAACCUGACGCUUUUCGAGGAGCCCGCGGCCUAUCAGCUAGUUGGUGAGGUAACGGCUCACCAAGGCUUUGACGGGUAGCUGGUCUGAGAGGACGACCAGCCACACUGGGACUGAGACACGGCCCAGACACCUACGGGUGGCAGCAGUCGAGAAUUUUUCUCAAUGGGGGAAACCCUGAAGGAGCGACGCCGCGUGGAGGAUGAAGGUCUUCGGGUUGUAAACUCCUGUCAUUUGGGAACAAUGCGCAAAUAUUAACUGUAUUUGCGUUGAUAGUACCAGAAGAGGAAGAGACGGCUAACUCUGUGCCAGCAGCCGCGGUAAUACAGAGGUCUCAAGCGUUGUUCGGAUUCAUUGGGCGUAAAGGGUGCGUAGGCGGCGCGGUAAGUCGGGUGUGAAAUCUCGGAGCUUAACUCCGAAACUGCAUUCGAUACUGCCGUGCUUGAGGACUGGAGAGGAGACUGGAAUUUACGGUGUAGCGGUGAAAUGCGUAGAUAUCGUAAGGAAGACCAGUGGCGAAGGCGGGUCUCUGGACAGUUCCUGACGCUGAGGCACGAAGGCCAGGGGAGCAAACGGGAUUAGAUACCCCGGUAGUCCUGGCAGUAAACGGUGCACGUUUGGUGUGGGAGGAUUC